AUUCUCAUAAUUUAAGAUUAAAAUGUUGCAUUGAAGCUGCAAAUAUGACUUAAUAGUCUGUGAAUG
This 66-nucleotide transfer RNA is filed under the name Gebiacantha plantae. Its description in RNAcentral is "tRNA-Phe". The record is from RNAcentral. Lineage: Eukaryota; Metazoa; Arthropoda; Malacostraca; Decapoda; Upogebiidae.